UCGGCCAGUAUGGCAUCGCAGUUUUUGCAUAUCUUCGUGUAGAAAAAGACGGCG
RNAcentral lists this long non-coding RNA (54 nucleotides) under Rhipicephalus microplus (southern cattle tick). RNAcentral describes it as "uncharacterized LOC119175059". The record is from RNAcentral. Lineage: Eukaryota; Metazoa; Arthropoda; Arachnida; Ixodida; Ixodidae.